ACGCUGGCGGCAGGCCUAACACAUGCAAGUCGAGCGGUAGAGAGAAGCUUGCUUCUCUUGAGAGCGGCGGACGGGUGAGUAAUGCCUAGGAAUCUGCCUGGUAGUGGGGGAUAACGUUCGGAAACGGACGCUAAUACCGCAUACGUCCUACGGGAGAAAGCAGGGGACCUUCGGGCCUUGCGCUAUCAGAUGAGCCUGGGCCGGAUUAGCUAGUUGGUGAGGUAAUGGCUCACCAAGGCGACGAUCCGUAACUGGUCUGAGAGGAUGAUCAGUCACACUGGAACUGAGACACGGUCCAGACUCCUACGGGAGGCAGCAGUGGGGAAUAUUGGACAAUGGGCGAAAGCCUGAUCCAGCCAUGCCGCGUGUGUGAAGAAGGUCUUCGGAUUGUAAAGCACUUUAAGUUGGGAGGAAGGGCAGUUACCUAAUACGUGAUUGUUUUGACGUUACCGACAGAAUAAGCACCGGCUAACUCUGUGCCAGCAGCCGCGGUAAUACAGAGGGUGCAAGCGUUAAUCGGAAUUACUGGGCGUAAAGCGCGCGUAGGUGGUUAGUUAAGUUGGAUGUGAAAUCCCCGGGCUCAACCUGGGAACUGCAUUCAAAACUGACUGACUAGAGUAUGGUAGAGGGUGGUGGAAUUUCCUGUGUAGCGGUGAAAUGCGUAGAUAUAGGAAGGAACACCAGUGGCGAAGGCGACCACCUGGACUGAUACUGUCACUGAGGUGCGAAAGCGUGGGGAGCAAAC
RNAcentral lists this ribosomal RNA (745 nucleotides) under uncultured bacterium. RNAcentral describes it as "bacterial SSU rRNA". It matches the Rfam family "Bacterial small subunit ribosomal RNA", at positions 33 to 773 of the family's 1533-position model. The record is from RNAcentral.